CGGAAUCGGUGCCUAUACAAGAAGCUACAUAUUAACUUCUGAAGAGCCGCAUGUGGCUCCGGAACCACAGGUUGGCCUCCCCUGAUGUAGCAUGUAGAGUGCUCAGAAGUUAAAUUGAGCCUGCUUUCUAAUAUAGACAGAGUCUGGAAUUGUAAAGGGUGAUCAGAGUUAGCUGUCAAGUGUCAAAGUCACAUACAGAAACAUCAUGAGAACAGCCUAAUCCUGAAAUUUCUGCAUAGUGAGACAGCUAGAAGAACUCAAGAUCCAAGGGCCCAGCAUCAAAGAGGGAAUGAACAGGGCCUGUAAGAUGGUUGAGAAAAGAAAAGUUACUACAUUCAAUCUUUACAUCGAUGGUUGGCCAAGAGUUCCUGCACCUCCAGUGUACCCAUCAUGCCACUGACAGAAUGGCUCUUUCUUCAGUUGGUGUAUUGUAUUACCUUCAACAAUUCCUCUUACUCAUAUCCUUCUCAAAGAAAGCAUACAUAAAUUGUGUGUCAUUCUGAACUUGAUCUUUUAGGUGCUGAAUAUUCUGGUCCCAAUAUAGCAAAGCACUUAGGAUGGGAUUUUCAGAAGUGCCUAAGGGAGUUAGGCACUCAAUUCCUUUAGGGACUUUUGAAAAUCACUCUUAAGCAAGUAAUUAAUUGUAAGCAUGUGAGCAGUCCCAUUAGCUUCAAUGGUACUACUCACAAAUUUAAAAUUGGGCAUGUGCCCAAGUGCUUUGCUUGGUUGGGACUAGAGUGCUCAGAAUCUGGCAGUAUCAAGCCUUGUAUGAAAUGUUUUGAAAGGAUGCUGGACUUCUGCCCUACCAGCUGGAUUCAGCUACAAAAUCUGAGCAUUGAUCUCUCCAACCACUGGCCACCAUACUUCUCAGCCUCAAACAGUGAGAAAUCUCAAGGCAGACCUGCCAAGUGUUACUUACUGUUGAGAAAAGAUUAAUUCAUUUGUGCUUAAUUUUAUGCCAGUUUUGAAAGUAUUUCACUCUUGUAAUGAAUGUGUUUCAAUGAGACUUUUAAAAUAUCAGUCCUCAUUUUUUUAAAUCAGACGCAUUUAAAUUUUUACAGUGUGAAUGAACCUUAAAUGUUUUAGCAAUAACUAAAUAAAAAUGAAUGUGAAUGUUUUUGUUCUUUUUAGCUAAUUAAAUACAAAAUAAUAAUAUCUGUAAGGAAGGGAAUGUUGUCUAAAGAUUGGAGGAAAAAAUUAGAGUCUGUUCUCAGCAUGACAUUCUGCAUAACCUUGGAUAAAUUAAUUUGCUUCUCUCUGCCUUACUUUCCAUUUGUAAAAUGGAAAUAAUAAAAUGUAUCUAGUCUUA
Chelonoidis abingdonii (Abingdon island giant tortoise) is the source of this 1309-nucleotide non-coding RNA. NCBI's taxonomy places the organism in Eukaryota, Metazoa, Chordata, Testudines, Testudinidae. The record is from RefSeq and is a predicted model, not a curated record.